This 253-nucleotide ribosomal RNA is filed under the name uncultured bacterium. RNAcentral's name for it is "partial 16S ribosomal RNA". It matches the Rfam family "Bacterial small subunit ribosomal RNA", at positions 524 to 776 of the family's 1533-position model. The record is from RNAcentral.
AACGUAGGAGACAAACGUUAUCCGGAGUUACUGGGCGUAAAGGGCGUGUAGGUGGUUUCGUAAGUCUGGCGUGAAAUUUUUCGGCUUAACCGGGAAAGGUCGUCGGAAACUGAACAGCUAGAGUAUGGUAGGGGCAGAGGGAAUUCCUGGUGUAGCGGUGAAAUGCGUAGAUAUCAGGAAGAACAUCGGUGGCGAAGGCGCUCUGCUGGACCAUAACUGACACUCAGGGACGAAAGCUAGGGGAGCGAAUGGG